ACAGAACCGCGUGAGGGAUAGUAGUGAAAAGCCCACAGCGAAGUGUAGCGAUAGCGCAACGUAGUGAGGACUUGAAACGAAUAGCCCGUUCGCCG
This 95-nucleotide unclassified non-coding RNA is filed under the name Flavobacterium xanthum. RNAcentral's name for it is "Flavo-1 RNA". Lineage: Bacteria; Pseudomonadati; Bacteroidota; Flavobacteriia; Flavobacteriales; Flavobacteriaceae. The record is from RNAcentral.